GUUGCCAAUGGGGAAGGGGAGGGAAUGGGAUGGAUUGGGAGCUUGGGUUUAAUAGAUGCAGACUAUUGCCUUUGGAAUGGAUAAGCAAUGAGAUCUUGCUGUGUAGCACUGGGAACUACACUUAUGAUGGAGCAUGAUAAUGUGAGAAAAAAGAAUCUAUAUAUGUAUGUGUAACUGGGUCACCAUGCUGUACAGUAGAAAAUUGGCAGAACACUGUAAACCAACUACAAUGGGUAAAAAAAAUCAUUAUAUUAAAAAUAAUUAUACAAUUUAUAACUUUAUACAUUUUAUGAAAUAAACUUUAAAAAUAUUAAAUAAAAACGUGGGCAUAUUUUUCCUACAUUCUUUAUUUGCACUGCCAUGCAGUAAUAAUGAAUUGCUUAUCUGAUGUAAUAGUUACUUAACAAUUCAUUUCCAAAGAUAGCUGUUAGAGGUCAUUUUGUAGAUAAGUAAGAAUAUCUAUCUUGUAUUUUACUGUGCUAAUUUAUACUAAAAGCAACUUAAAAUGUUUCAGGCAACUCAAAUCAGUUUUCCUAUACAUUUUAAUUUUUAUCCCUAGAUAAAGCUAUUCAAGGACAUUGCCACAUUAUGUAUUUUAUCUGUUUUCACCAUAGCAUAUAUAGGUCUAGGCCAAACAAUAAUUACUUAUUUAUGUACAGUGUAUAAUUAAAAUGUGUAUAUAAACAUUAUUAAUUAAUUAAUUCAAUAAAUUAUGACUAAUAAUUCAAUAAAUUCUGAGACUAACAAGGCCCCAUAGACAUACGUUCUCUGCUAUUUACCUAACAAGUACUCACUAAAUAUUUGUUGUGUGAGAGAAGAAGGGAAAAUUAUUUAAUAUGCGUCCACAUUUAGAAGAGUGGAAGGCACACCUUAGGCAAUUUAGGAUUAUUAACUCUUUUUAUCGAUAAUUAAAGUGACUUCCUUGAUGUCACACAGUGAAUUCAGUACUAUGAAUAACGGUAGUGGGUACUUAUGUGCCAUACACACGCACUUGUGAAAUCAGGGUCCUUUUUUUUUCCCUAUGGACUUCUUGACUGUGAGGUCAUGCUCUAUGAAUUCAGAGUCCUAGGGGAAGGGUACUGAAGCCUUCUGAGAUCUUUCAUUCAUAGACUUAAUAGGCUACACUCUUUGACUAGUAGUUCCAGGCUAGGGGUCGAAUCAGAGCUGUAGCUACCAGCCUAUGCCACAGCCACAGCAAUGCAGGAUCUGAGCCACAUCUGCGACCUAUACUACAGCUCACGGCAAUGCCAGAUCCUUAACCCAGUGAGCAAGGCCAGGGAUUGAACCUGCAUCCUCAUGAAUGCUAGUCAGAUUCAUUAACCACUGAGCCAUGGCGGAAACUCCCAGACACUUUCUAUUAUGCUACACCUGCUUUGCAUUUUGUGUUGAUUGAUGUUGAUCAGAUUUUUAGUGAUUGGAAAGUUUACAGUCGAAAAAUACUGAGAACAAUAGUAAUUUAUUUUAACUGGUGAAGCAAUUCUGAAAGUGAUAUAUAUAUAUAUAUUUGGCUGCAUGCUUGGCACGUGGAAGUUCCCAAGCCAGGGAUCGAACUCAUGCUGCAGUUGCGACCUGAGCCACAGCUGCAGCAGCAUCACAUCCUUAACCCACUAUGCCAUAUGGGAAUUUCCUAAGAUUUUUUUUUCUUAAGCAUCGUAUCUUGCAAUAUAUUUGGUGUAAUAAAUUAAACUAGAUGUCAACUGUGAACCAUAACCUUUUAAUAAUUAUUUCCUUUGUCAUGAGGGACAGAAAAAAAUGUACUCUUUAAAUCAAGAGAAUAAUUAUUUUUCUUGACAAGACUUCACUGGGCUUGAUUGAGAUUUUAGAAUGCGUAUAUAUGAGUUGACAGUUUGCAUUUGCUGUGUUUUCCCCUAGGUGAUAUCUAAAAGCGUUCAUAAGUUUUAUCUUUAAUGAGAACAGAGCCCAUUAACCCUAAAAAUGCUCUUUUUUGCUCAAAGGAAUUUUCCAGCUGGAAAACUAAUAUAAAAAUAUGUCUCAUCAUGAAAUGAAAACUCAGUUUUUAAAUAAGGCAUGUGGUUCUUUAAUUUGAGACAAAAUAACAUAGCCAGUAAAAUAGUAAAAUUCUGCAUCCCUAUUCCUGGUUAAAAAUUGCAUUUGCCUUGGCCUUAUAAAGAGGGAGGAAAUGGCUCAAUUUAUUUUAUUUUAUUUUAUUUUAUUUUGUUUUAUUUUUGGCUUCUUUUUUAGGGCCUUACCCACAGCAUAUGGAAGUUCCCAGGCUAGAGGUCUAAUCAGAGCUGCAGCUGCGGGCCUACGCCACAGCCACAGCCACAGCGAUGUCAGAUCCAAGCACGUCUGUGACCUACACCACAGCUCACAACAAUGCCGGAUCCUUAACCCAAGAGUGAGGCCAGGGAUUGAACCCACACACUUAGGGUUCCUAGCCACAUUCGUUUCUGCUACACCACUAUAGGAACUCCUGACUCAAAUUAUUUUUUGUAUUACAUUUACAUAAGAUAAUAUUUCUCAGACUUUCAAACUUAGGAGCUGUGCAAAAUGCUCAGAGAAUUAAUUUCACUGAAGGCUAUGUACUUAGGAAGCAAGGCAGUUCUCUUUUUAAAAAUGUGAUAAACUAUUGCAGAAAAUAUGGGCAAGGAAGCCUUCACUCCUCAUCUUCAGACAACAUAGUCAGGGCAUAUUGAUGAAUGCAAAGCACAGCACAGCACUAAUCUUCAGCACCUCUUUUCCCAGAAGCCUUAAUAUUGCUUCUAAUGGGGAAGAAGUCCUCUGUGAGCAUUAAAGGUAUCAAAGAGUCACAUUGGUGCAAAUUGGAAGACAAGGAAAAUCUUAGAGUAAAUAUCAAAAAGAAAAAAAAAA
This 2832-nucleotide long non-coding RNA is filed under the name Sus scrofa (pig). Its description in RNAcentral is "lncRNA (ENSSSCG00035001195.1)". Lineage: Eukaryota; Metazoa; Chordata; Mammalia; Artiodactyla; Suidae. The record is from RNAcentral.